UAUAAAUUGGGAACACAGGGAGUAUUAACUAUUGGGUUGAAUGGGUCAAUCUUUCCCUCCACGUUGAAACCAUAGGCUAUGCAGCUAUAUAUUUGCCAGCUUCAGUAAUCAGCUAAACAUCCAACCAUUCUUGCAUCUCAUCAAACAUUUCAUCCAAUGGAUACUCAAUGUAUUAUUCAGGGAGAUUCAUCUGCUUCCCAGUUCUCUCACUCACCCCAUUGGAACUAUGAUGUAUUUCUAAGUUUCAGAGGUGAAGAUACCCGAAAAACCUUCACAGGUUAUCUUUAUUCCAGAUUGUGUCAAGUUGGAGUUAAUACCUUAAUAGAUGAUGAGGAGUUGAGAAAGGGCGAGGUGAUUUCAAGGGAGCUAGAGAAAUCAAUUGAAGAGUCCAGGAUUUCAAUUGUUGUUUUCUCAAGAAAUUAUGCUUCCUCUAGUUGGUGUCUUGAUGAACUUGUUAAGAUUCUUGAAUGCAAACAUAAGUUAAAGGACGUAGUUUUUCCUAUUUUCUAUGAUGUUGAUCCUUCUCAAGCGCGCAAGCAAACAGGGUGCUUUGGUGAAGCUUUGGCUAAACACAAGGAACGAUUUGGGACUGAAAGAAUGGAGAAGUGGACCGCUGCACUUACUGAAGCUGCAAAUUUAUCUGGAUGGGAUUUGCAAAAUGUUGCUGACGGGUAUGAAUUCAAAUUUAUCGAGAAUAUUAUUGAACAAGUCCUACAAGAGCACAACCAGACACCUCUGGAUGUUGCUUGGCACCCAGUUGGACUAGAUACUCGUGUCAAAGAGAUAGAGUUGUUGUUGCAAAAUGAAUGUGAAGAUUAAGUUCAUGUGGUUGGUAUGUAUGGUGUUGGUGGAAUAGGGAAAACAACUCUGGCAAAAGCUAUCUACAAUCGAAUAUUUCGACACUUCGAUGGUAGUUGCUUCUUAUCGAAUGUUAGAUCAGAAGCUGAAGCACCAUCUAAUGGUCUGGUCAAGCUGCAACAGAAACUUCUUCGUCAAAUUCUCAAAAAUAAGGAUUUUGAAAUUAACAAUGUUGCUGAAGGCAUCAAACUAUUCAAAACAAGAUUUGAGUCAAAAAAGGUUCUAAUAGUUCUUGAUGAUUUGGACCACAUGAGACAAUUGCAUUCCUUAGCAAGAGAUCGAAGUUGGUUUGGUUCAGGUAGUCUCAUAAUUAUUACAACCCGAGAUGAGCAUUUGCUAUGUGGGCUUAGAGCAAAUGAGAGAUAAGAGGCCAAACUAUUAAAUGACAAUGAAGCUAUGCAACUUUUUAGUUGGCAUGCUUUUAACCAUCUUUUUCCACCACAAGAAUAUGUUAAGCUGGCACAAGACAUAAUCAAAUAUUCUAGUGGUCUACCAUUAGCUCUUUCGACAUUGGGGUCACAUUUGCAAACAGAAGAAUGGAGAUUUGAAUUUGAAAAGCUAAAAGCAAUUCCUCAUAGUGAUAUCCAUGAGAUUCUCAAGAUAAGCUUUGAUGGACUUGAUGAUGAUACUCAGAGUGUUUUCCUUGAUAUUGCAUGCAUUUUUCAUGGGUUUUACAAGGACGAAGUUACCAAAACAUUAAAUGCAUGUGGUUUUCAUUCUGAAAGUGCAAUUUCAACUUUGGUCCGAAAAUGCUUGCUCCAAAGGGUGUAUCAUUUAGUGAUGCAUGAUCUAGUCCAAGAUAUGGGAAGAGAAAUCGUUCGCAUGGAAUCACCUCGAGACCCUGGAAAACGAAGUAGAUUGUUUAGCCCACAAGCAGUCCAUGAUGUUCUACAAGGAAAUAAAGGUUCUGAAAAGGUAGAAGUACUGAAGGUGGAUGGACAGGCAUUAAGUGGAGUGAGCUUAAGCACCAAAGCAUUUAAGAAAAUGAAAAAUAUUAGGGUGCUUAUAAUUGAUGAAUUACAUAUUAGUGGAGAUUUUGAGUUGUUGUCCAAGGAGCUCAGAUGGUUGUCUUGGCUAAAAUGUCCUUUAAAGUGUAUACCAUCAAAAUUUCCAGCUGAGAAACUAGUAAUUCUGAAUAUGAAAGAGAGUAAUAUCCAAGAACUUGGAUUGAAUUUGAAGCAUUGUAAAAGUUUGAAGAAUCUGGAUCUCUCUUAUUGCAAGCACCUUAAAAGAACACCAAACUUCAGUGGUUCGCAAAGCCUUGAGACUUUGCGGCUUCGUGGUUGCACAAGUCUGAAGGAGAUCCAUCAAUCAAUUGGAAAUUUAGACAGACUAAUUGAUCUAGAUUUGAAUGGUUGCAAAAAGCUUACGAAUCUUCCACACAGCAUAUGUCAGCUAAAAUCACUUGAAAACUUAAACAUUGGAAGCUACUCAUCUAUACAUACACUGCCAGUUGACCUUUGGAGAUAAGCAAAGUCUAAAAAAACUUUUAGCACUUAUACAGGUAUAAAACAAUUGCCUGGAUCUAUUGAACUGCUAAAAGAUCUUGUAAUUUUGGAAGUGGGAGGUCAAAAUGAAGAGGCAAACAUGAGUUUUUCUCGAAGAAGAGUCCAUCACGUACAACCCUUGUCAACUUCUAUUUCGCAGUUAAGCAUUACAUAUUGUGAUUUGUCUGAGGAAGAUAUUCCUAGGGAUAUUGGGAGUUUAUCCUCCUUACUUUCUUUAGAUUUGAGUGGCAACAGUUUCCAGUGUCUACCCUUUGACUUUUCUAAGUGAGGAUGC
RNA transcript from Lycium barbarum (goji berry), 2640 nucleotides. It is a transcript of the gene named disease resistance protein RUN1-like, with no coding region annotated. The record is from RefSeq and is a predicted model, not a curated record. Lineage: Eukaryota; Viridiplantae; Streptophyta; Magnoliopsida; Solanales; Solanaceae. The transcript is spliced from 4 exons.